This 401-nucleotide ribosomal RNA is filed under the name Fusarium sp. RNAcentral describes it as "SSU rRNA". It matches the Rfam family "Eukaryotic small subunit ribosomal RNA", at positions 1197 to 1611 of the family's 1831-position model. Lineage: Eukaryota; Fungi; Ascomycota; Sordariomycetes; Hypocreales; Nectriaceae. The record is from RNAcentral.
GACUCAACACGGGGAAACUCACCAGGUCCAAGACACCAAUGAGGGAUUGACAAGAUUGAGAGCUCUUUCUUGAUUUUUGUGGGUGGUGGUGCAUGGCCGUUCUUAGUUGGGUGGAGUGAUUUUGUCUGCUUAAUUGCGAUAACGAAACGAGACCUUAACCUACUAAAUAGUCCGUAUUGCUUUGGCAGUACGCUGGCUUCUUAGAGGGACUAUCGGCUCAAGCCGAUGGAAGUUUGAGCGCAAGUAACAGGUCUGUGAUGCCCUUAGAUGUUCUGGGCCGCACGCGCGCUACACUGACGGAGCCAGCGAGUACCUCCUUGGCCGAAAGGCCCGGGUAAUCUUGUUAAACUCCGUCGGUGCUGGGGAUAGAGCAUUGCAAUUAUUGCUCUUCAACGAGGAAU